ACACUCCUGCGGGAGGCAGCAGUGGGGAAUAUUGGACAAUGGGCGCAAGCCUGAUCCAGCCAUGCCGCGUGAGUGAUGAAGGCCCUAGGGUUGUAAAGCUCUUUCACCGGUGAAGAUAAUGACGGUAACCGGAGAAGAAGCCCCGGCUAACUUCGUGCCAGCAGCCGCGGUAAUACGAAGGGGGCUAGCGUUGUUCGGAUUUACUGGGCGUAAAGCGCACGUAGGCGGACUAUUAAGUCAGGGGUGAAAUCCCGGGGCUCAACCCCUGAACUGCCUUUGAUACUGGUAGUCUUGAGUUCGAGAGAGGUGAGUGGAAUUCCGAGUGUAGAGGUGAAAUUCGUAGAUAUUCGGAGGAACACCAGUGGCGAAGGCGGCUCACUGGCUCGAUACUGACGCUGAGGUGCGAAAGCGUGGGGAGCAAACAGGAUUAGAAACCCCUGUAGUCCC
Molecule: ribosomal RNA, 447 nt
Filed under: uncultured organism
Description: partial 16S ribosomal RNA
Rfam family: Bacterial small subunit ribosomal RNA
Source: RNAcentral